GAUGAACGCUGGCGGCGUGCCUAAUACAUGCAAGUCGAGCGAACGGACGAGAAGCUUGCUUCUCUGAUGUUAGCGGCGGACGGGUGAGUAACACGUGGAUAACCUACCUAUAAGACUGGGAUAACUUCGGGAAACCGGAGCUAAUACCGGAUAAUAUUUUGAACCGCAUGGUUCAAAAGUGAAAGACGGUCUUGCUGUCACUUAUAGAUGGAUCCGCGCUGCAUUAGCUAGUUGGUAAGAUAACGGCUUACCAAGGCAACGAUGCAUAGCCGACCUGAGAGGGUGAUCGGCCACACUGGAACUGAGACACGGUCCAGACUCCUACGGGAGGCAGCAGUAGGGAAUCUUCCGCAAUGGGCGAAAGCCUGACGGAGCAACGCCGCGUGAGUGAUGAAGGUCUUCGGAUCGUAAAACUCUGUUAUUAGGGAAGAACAUAUGUGUAAGUAACUGUGCACAUCUUGACGGUACCUAAUCAGAAAGUCACGGCUAACUACGUG
This 497-nucleotide ribosomal RNA is filed under the name uncultured bacterium. RNAcentral describes it as "partial 16S ribosomal RNA". It matches the Rfam family "Bacterial small subunit ribosomal RNA", at positions 28 to 507 of the family's 1533-position model. The record is from RNAcentral.